Molecule: ribosomal RNA, 147 nt
Filed under: Pseudovorticella paracratera
Lineage: Eukaryota; Ciliophora; Oligohymenophorea; Sessilida; Vorticellidae
Description: 5.8S ribosomal RNA
Source: RNAcentral
UUUAUAAUACCAUAAAUGUACUUCUUGAAUUUAUGUUCUUAAAGGAAGGAAACUUCUUUUAUGUAUGCCUAUUUAUAGGUUUUAUACGUUAAUUAACAACCUAAAUAUCAUAAAUUUUCAACGAUGGAUAUCUAGGCUCCUAUAACG